UACAGAGGGGGCAAGCGUUGUUCGGAAUUACUGGGCGUAAAGGGCGCGUAGGCGGCCCGCUAAGUCGAACGUGAAAUCCCUGGGCUCAACCCAGGAACUGCGUCCGAUACUGGCAGGCUUGAAUCCGGGAGAGGGAUGCGGAAUUCCAGGUGUAGCGGUGAAAUGCGUAGAUAUCCGGAGGAACACCAGGGGCGAAAGCGGCCGACUGGUCGAGUACUGACGCUGAGGCGCGACGGCGUGGGGAGCAAACCGG
Molecule: ribosomal RNA, 253 nt
Filed under: uncultured bacterium
Lineage: Bacteria
Description: partial 16S ribosomal RNA
Rfam family: Bacterial small subunit ribosomal RNA
Source: RNAcentral